CGAAAGUAAAAUUUCGUGGAGGUCCGAACCCACGAGCGUUGAAAAGCUCGGGGAUGACUUGUGGGUAGCGGUGAAAUUCCAAUCGAGCCCGGAGAUAGCUGGUUCUCCCCGAAAUAGCUUUAGGGCUAGCCUCAAGGUGAGAGAUACGGAGGUAGAGCACUGAAUGUCCUAGGGGGUAUUGCACCUACCGAAGACUAUCAAACUCCGAAUGCCGUCAUCUUAUACUUGGGAGUCAGACUGUGGGUGAUAAGAUUCAUAGUCGAAAGGGCAACAGCCCAGAUCGUCAGCUAAGGUCCCUAAAUGUAAGUUAAGUGGUAAAGGAUGUGGGAUUGCACAGACAACCAGGAUGUUGGCUUAGAAGCAGCCACUCAUUCAAAGAGUGCGUAAUAGCUCACUGGUCGAGUGAUCCUGCGCCGAAGAUUUCCGGGGCUAAAACUUACUACCGAAGCUACGGCAUCAGUAAUGAUGGGUAGGGGAGCUUCCCAUACGGGUUGAAGCAUGACCGUAAGGACAUGUGGACAGUAUGGGAGUGAGAAUGUUGGCAUGAGUAGCGAGAUGUGGGUGAGAAUCCCACAGGCCGUAAACCCAAGGUUUCCAGGGGAAGGUUCGUCCGCCCUGGGUUAGUCGGGACCUAAGCUGAGGCCGAAAGGCGUAGGUGAUGGACAACAGGUUGAUAUUCCUGUACUACCGAUAACCGUUUGAGAGAAGGGAUGACACAGUAGGAUAAGCUAAGCACACUGUUGGUUAUGUGUGCCCAAGCAUUGAGGCAGUCAAAGUAGGCAAAUCCGCUUUGAUAAUGCUGGGAUGUGAUGGGGAGCGAAAUUUAGUAGCGAAGUAGCUGAUUUCACACUGUCAAGAAAAGUCUCUAUCGAGGUUAAAGGUACCCGUACCGCAAACCGACACAGGUGGGUGAGGAGAGUAUCCUAAGGCCAGCGAGAGAACUGUUGUUAAGGAACUCGGCAAAAUGACCCCGUAACUUAGGGAUAAGGGGUGCCACCAUCAGGUGGCCGCAGAGAAUAGGCCCAAGCGACUGUUUACCAAAAACAUAGGUUUCUGCUAAGUCGCAAGACGAUGUAUAGGAGCUGACGCCUGCCCGGUGCUGGAAGGUUAAGGGGAUCUGUUAGAGCAAUCGAAGCAGUGAACUUAAGCCCCAGUAAACGGCGGCCGUAACUAUAACGGUCCUAAGGUAGCGAAAUUCCUUGUCGGGUAAGUUCCGACCCGCACGAAAGGCGUAACGAUUUGGGCACUGUCUCAACAACAGACUCGGUGAAAUUGUAAUUCCGGUGAAGAUGCCGGAUACCUGCGACAGGACGGAAAGACCCCAUGGAGCUUUACUGUAGCUUGACAUUGGGUCUUGGUACUACAUGUACAGGAUAGGUGGGAGGCUUUGAAACCAGGACGCCAGUUUUGGCGGAGCCAUCCUUGGGAUACCACCCUUGUAGUACUGGGACUCUAACCAUAGGCCAUGAAUCUGGUCUUGGGACACUGUCAGGUGGGCAGUUUGACUGGGGCGGUCGCCUCCCAAAAGGUAACGGAGGCGCUCAAAGGUUCUCUCAGUACGGUCGGAAAUCGUACGUAGAGUGUAAAGGCAAAAGAGAGCUUGAUUGCAAGACAUACAGGUCGAGCAAGGAUGAAAAUCGGACUUAGUGAUCCGGUGGUUCUGCGUGGAAGGGCCAUCGCUCAACGGAUAAAAGCUACCCUGGGGAUAACAGGCUUAUCUCCCCCAAGAGUCCACAUCGACGGGGAGGUUUGGCACCUCGAUGUCGGCUCAUCACAUCCUGGGGCUGUAGUAGGUCCCAAGGGUUGGGCUGUUCGCCCAUUAAAGUGGUACGCGAGCUGGGUUCAGAACGUCGUGAGACAGUUCGGUCCCUAUCCGUCGCAGGCGUAGGAAAUUUGAGAAGACCUGUCCUUAGUACGAGAGGACCGGGAUGGACG
This 1935-nucleotide ribosomal RNA is filed under the name Clostridioides difficile. RNAcentral's name for it is "partial 23S ribosomal RNA". It matches the Rfam family "Bacterial large subunit ribosomal RNA", at positions 751 to 2703 of the family's 2925-position model. The record is from RNAcentral. Lineage: Bacteria; Bacillati; Bacillota; Clostridia; Peptostreptococcales; Peptostreptococcaceae.